AUAAAGAAACAGCAUACAGCUCAAUAAAUCAGCACCAUUGUCAAAAUUAAUUGGUCUCAUAACAUCUGAGAAACUCAGUUAAAGGUGACCAUAUUUUCACAAAAUCCCCUCCCCUUCCUCUAACAAUAUAAGUGAGUCAUUCCAACAAAGUGACACUCCU
Long non-coding RNA from Sphaeramia orbicularis (orbiculate cardinalfish), 160 nucleotides. RefSeq lists it as uncharacterized. The transcript has 3 exons. NCBI's taxonomy places the organism in Eukaryota, Metazoa, Chordata, Actinopteri, Kurtiformes, Apogonidae. The record is from RefSeq and is a predicted model, not a curated record.